RNAcentral lists this ribosomal RNA (239 nucleotides) under Clostridioides difficile. RNAcentral's name for it is "partial 23S ribosomal RNA". It matches the Rfam family "Bacterial large subunit ribosomal RNA", at positions 2684 to 2925 of the family's 2925-position model. The record is from RNAcentral. Lineage: Bacteria; Bacillati; Bacillota; Clostridia; Peptostreptococcales; Peptostreptococcaceae.
CGAGAGGACCGGGAUGGACGUACCUCUGGUGUACCAGUUGUCCUGCCAAGGGCAUGGCUGGGUAGCUAUGUACGGAAUGGAGAAGCGCUGAAAGCAUCUAAGCGCGAAGCCAACUUCAAGAUAAGAUGUCCCACCGCAAGGGUAAGACCCCAGAAAGACUAUCUGGUUGAUAGGUCGAAGGUGUAAGUGCAGCAAUGUAUUUAGCUUAUCGAUACUAAUAGGUCGAGGACUUGACCAAU